This 24-nucleotide non-coding RNA is filed under the name Arabidopsis thaliana (thale cress). The record is from RNAcentral. Lineage: Eukaryota; Viridiplantae; Streptophyta; Magnoliopsida; Brassicales; Brassicaceae.
AGGACUCCAAGUGUGGUUAUAUCC